AGAUCAAAGGAAAACAGAGGGAAGAGAGCAAAUGGUAAAAAACACAAAAAGUGUGCAAAUUUAUAACAGGUAAGUAUAACAGGUAAGCAUCUAAGGUAAGUAUAACAGGUAAGUAUAACAGGUAAGCAUCUAAGGUAAGUAUAACAGGUAAGUAUAACAGGUAAGUAUAACAGGUAAGCAUCUAAGGUAAGUAUAACAGGUAAGCAUCUAAGGUAAGUAUAACAGGUAAGUAUAACAGGUAAGUAUAACAGGUAAGCAUCUAUGGUAAGUAUAACAGGUAAGUAUAACAGGUAAGCAUCUAUGGUAAGUAUAACAGGUAAGUAUAACAGGUAAGUAUAACAGGUAAGCAUCUAUGGUAAGUAUAACAGGUAAGUAUAACAGGUAAGUAUAACAGGUAAGCAUCU
This is a long non-coding RNA of Astyanax mexicanus (Mexican tetra), 404 nucleotides long. RefSeq lists it as uncharacterized. The record is from RefSeq and is a predicted model, not a curated record. The transcript has 4 exons. Lineage: Eukaryota; Metazoa; Chordata; Actinopteri; Characiformes; Acestrorhamphidae.